GAUGAAGAACGCAGCGAAAUGCGAUAAGUAAUGUGAAUUGCAGAAUUCAGUGAAUCAUCGAAUCUUUGAACGCACAUUGCGCCCGCCAGUAUUCUGGCGGGCAUGCCUGUUCGAGCGUCAUUUCAACCAUCAAGCCCCCGGCUUGUGUUGGGGACCUGCGGCUGCCGCAGGCCCUGAAAAGCAGUGGCGGGCUCGCUGUCACACCGAGCGUAGUAGCAUACAUCUCGCUCUGGGCGUGCUGCGGGUUCCGGCCGUUAAACCACCUUCAUAACCCAAGGUUGACCUCGGAUCAGGUAGGAAGACGCGCUGAACUUAAGCAUAUCAAUAAGCGGAGGA
This 336-nucleotide unclassified non-coding RNA is filed under the name soil metagenome. RNAcentral's name for it is "partial contains 5.8S ribosomal RNA, internal transcribed spacer 2, and large subunit ribosomal RNA". The stretch from base 1 to 120 matches the Rfam family "5.8S ribosomal RNA", at positions 35 to 154 of the family's 154-position model. The record is from RNAcentral.